Podarcis lilfordi (Lilford's wall lizard) is the source of this 75-nucleotide non-coding RNA. The record is from the annotation of a GenBank genome assembly. Lineage: Eukaryota; Metazoa; Chordata; Lepidosauria; Squamata; Lacertidae.
GCCCUGGGAUAGCUCAUUGGGUAGAGCACAAGACUCUUAAUCUCAGGGUUGUGGGUUCGAGCCCCAGGUUGGGCA